UGUGAUUGUGAUAUCAUUUAAUGUGUAUGAAUAUGAAAUCCUUGAAGCUGAAUAUGUACCUGUUGGAGAGGCCAAUCAUGGCUGAUAUUUAUUGGUUUUGUACAUUAUUGUUCCCCCUGUACCCUUACCAUUGAUUAUUAAUACUCCCAUCUUACCGGAUCUUCGUUCAUGUAACACAGUGUAUGCCAAAUUGCUAUGCAAGGAUCAUGAGUGUAGGUGAUGAUGAGAGCCGGAUCGCACUCAUUGCCAAGACUGAUGUAACGGCUGGCGAUGAGCUAACGUAUGACUACUUGUUUGAUCCUGAUGAGCCAGAUGAAUUUAAAGUCCCAUGUUUAUGCAAAGCUCCGAACUGCCGCAAGUUCAUGAAUUAGGACUAUAUACACAGAUCAGGAUGACAUUAUUGUUUCUCCACAAGGAGCCUAACCCAUCCCCUUCAUUAGUGGGAACCUCAUAGUUAACCUAAGCUGUAAUUUUAAUCAAACCAUAGGUACAGGAAAGAAAACACAAAAGUGGAAAAAAAAAAUUUUUCUUUUAAUUUUUCCCCAAUUUCUUAGUGUUUGGUUUUCUUGGAAUUAUGGCGCUGAAUAAAAGCCGUAGUGGCUUUAGGCUCUUGGCGUUUUGUAAAUGGGACUUAUAAUAUUGCUUCGUUCUAUAAAAGCUAGUGCAAGCCUCAGUAUAUUUCGUAUGUA
Long non-coding RNA from Arachis ipaensis, 689 nucleotides. RefSeq lists it as uncharacterized. NCBI's taxonomy places the organism in Eukaryota, Viridiplantae, Streptophyta, Magnoliopsida, Fabales, Fabaceae. The record is from RefSeq and is a predicted model, not a curated record.